AGAAAAAAAUUUCAAUAAAUGCAGAAUGCUAGUUUAAGAAUUAACAAGCAAAAGUUAUAUCACUAAAUUCAAGGGUUAAAAUUGAUAGACCCAAAUACUAAGCCUUGUACUAAGUUUUCUUAAGGCAUAGGACGUUAACCGGAGGAUACAACAACAACAACAAAGCCUUUUCCCACUAAGUGGGGUCGGCUAUAUAGCCGCCCAGGUUAACUGGAGGAUCAUACAACAAAUUGUGAAGCCCUAGAUUGGAUACAUAGCCGCCCAGGUUUUUAAGCUACAUUUGAGCCAAGAAU
This 293-nucleotide long non-coding RNA is filed under the name Malus domestica (apple). Its description in RNAcentral is "long non-coding RNA (MDOM_LNC003560)". Lineage: Eukaryota; Viridiplantae; Streptophyta; Magnoliopsida; Rosales; Rosaceae. The record is from RNAcentral.